CCCUUAUAGACGAUGAGGUUGAUAGGUUCGGUGUGGAAGUGCAGUAAUGCAUGGAGCUGACGAAUACUAAUCGGUCGAGGACUUAUCCAC
This 90-nucleotide ribosomal RNA is filed under the name Brevibacillus laterosporus. RNAcentral's name for it is "partial 23S ribosomal RNA". It matches the Rfam family "Bacterial large subunit ribosomal RNA", at positions 2835 to 2925 of the family's 2925-position model. Lineage: Bacteria; Bacillati; Bacillota; Bacilli; Caryophanales; Paenibacillaceae. The record is from RNAcentral.